Long non-coding RNA from Monomorium pharaonis (pharaoh ant), 12199 nucleotides. RefSeq lists it as uncharacterized. NCBI's taxonomy places the organism in Eukaryota, Metazoa, Arthropoda, Insecta, Hymenoptera, Formicidae. The record is from RefSeq and is a predicted model, not a curated record. The transcript is spliced from 2 exons.
AUCAGAGAGAAAACGACGGAUGUGAUUGAGCCUCAAUGGAGAAUCCGUCGUAAUCGAAGUCUCGCGGCAGACUCGUCUGACGGGACGUGUUCCAUUAGGUCAUUGACACGUCCCCCGCCCGCGAAGCGCAAAACUCCGCGCGAUUCUCCCGAGCUAACGUAAUUAAAGGCACGCGCAUAUCUAAACGCGUCCUCCUCGACGCACGAUGGGGUCUCUGUGACCCGCCUGGGUCCCCGCGAUUCAUUAAAUUUUCAUUUAACUCCACCGGCAUGGAGAUAGAAGCGAUGGAUCUCUUCUCGCUUCCAUCUCUCGCGGUAGCUGCCAUAAGCGGAAUUCAGCGGUCUUAGCGACCGUCGUCGAGCAUCACCAUGCAAAUGUGCGCAAAUUUCAGGUUCAACGGAAGUCGGGACAAGUCAAAGAGAAGAGGAAGGAGAGGAUGGCGAGCGAAAUUCCGUCAGAGAGAAAGAUGAAAAGGAGAUCUCCUCGUGAAGGAUCAGCGUGGGUGGCGCGGGUUAACGCCGCUCCGUUAUAUUUCUAGAAUGUCUUCAUCUCUUCCCCCCCCCCCAUAUUGCCCGUAGCACCGAAAUAGAAGAAGGCGCGUUCCAUGGCGUCUCGUUCGCUUUGCAACUCUGACGCUUCGUAUCUCUCAUCGCGCGUGCCUCUCGCGCGUAGUAACGGGUUGCGAAAAACUUGACCGGAUUUACCGCUUCAAUUUCACGCCAGAGAUAUUUCUUCUCGCGGGGCGCGCGAUAAAACUGCAAUCGCGCUGUUAAAUUGAACAAACGAACGCGCGGCUGGCCAACCGUCCGUAGUUUUCCUGCGUGCAACAAAGACCGGGCACGACGAGCGGAUGAUUGAGGAGGAAACGGCGGAAUAGCCCACGCUUCCGGUUACGCGAUGUCCGCGGAAUGCGAAGUGACGCGCCGCGAGGAAGAGCGUCGAACAAGCGGAAUUGCCAACGCCAAUAUUCCCCCGCUAGGCGACAUUGUCGUCGUAAGAAAAUUUCAUUUUCUCCGAGCGAUCGAGAGAGAGAGAGAGAGAGAGAGAGAGAGAGAGAGAGAGACAUAAUUUGCAGUGCAGUCGGUAGCGAGACAUUCAAGACAUUUCCAAAAGCGCCGCGCUCUCUGCCACUGACAGCAAUGUAUUGUGAAAUAUAUCCGACAAUAAGCCACGUCGUGCGAAUUACACGGCGAGGUGCGGCAAGCUCGGCGCGGUUCAUUGUUAGUUUCGGCAUGAAUACCGGGCAAUUUUUAAGCAUAUGCGACAGUUGCGGUUGCGGUUUACGGAUACAAGAUCGGGCGUAUUACGUCGUUGUCUGCGCUAUCUUACGCUACGUAUUACGUCUGACAUAAAUCGUGAAGCUUGGCGCGAGCCACGACGCUUACGAUUCCCGCGAUAACGGCCGAGGUGCGGUAACUCGCGGGGGACACACCUCGCGCGAGCCUCGGACGCCUCUGGCCGGCGUGGCAUUCUGGACAUUUUAUUCCCGAGAAUCCGUCUACCACGCGUAACAACUUAAUCGGGGAGAGCGACGCUUUAAGAAGGGCUGUUUGUUGUCCGCGGCAAGUCGAACGACGGCCAUUUGCCGAAAACGUGCCGCGAUGAACAAAUCGACGUUGAACACCGUUUCGUGCGGACAGCGCAAUUUCCGAAAAUGAACGGCCGCGAUAAAUCAGAGAAUGUCGGCCAACGUGUCUUUGACUAAACCGAGUUGGAAACGUAAUAUUUUCGCGUUAGCCAGCGAACGCGGGACCGGGAGGAACUUGGAAAUAGGGUCAGUCCCCUCAGGAGGCUUUUGAAAAUCCAACGGGGAAUAGAGAAGCCGCACUUGCCUGUCGGCAGCCAUGCUCAUAAAGUUACCCCAUGUAACACCUAGCCUGAUGGUUUACCGACUGCCCUGUAGGCGUGAAAAAGGGAAGGAGCGAGCCGAGCUGUUAAUAAGGCUGAUACACACAGAGAAAGAAAAUAAAAAGCGGCCGCUCCAUGCUUUAUGAGUGGUCAGUUGUGAUGAUAAGCCUCCGGCGACGAGCGACCGUGGGUCGAUGCAAUCGUUUUAUCUGACGUACUAGCUAAAAAGCUAAAUGAAUCAGCGAAACAGGGAUAAUAAUUACAAUCGAGCCUUGCUGCCUUAAAGAAGAAAUUUGACCAAACGGGAGAACAAAAGAGAACCGUUACCGCAACGAGAGCACACUGUGGCUUUGCGAAAACAGGGAGGAGGUUAUAUUGUGGUCUUAAUUUUACCCUGCUUCUUCUUCCCCUCAUUCCUCGCGCGGUAUAUUCGUUACAAGAUUUACGCAAGCGAGUAAAUGGAGCAACGCACGGCACGUCACUGUGUGAGUCCGUUUGAAGAUGCACACCGAGAGCCAACGACAUCUACGUAAGAACCUAUUCCGGACCAAACAAUACGACGUUUGUUCUCCCGAGAACUACUUCCGGAAAUUUACGAGGCACGGGAUUUCCGAGAGCUGGCCGGAGAAUCGACCGAUGAAUGGAAUCGAAUGGAAAACUCGCGGAACUGUAUUUUCGAUUUCGCGGGCUUAACCCCCUCGUGACUCUGCCCUUCCUUCUUUCCGCAUUUUAUCGUCCCGAAAAAGAGCAGCGACGUGCGUACUUCGCGGUGAAAUGAGCACUUUAUAUUCCCCUCCCUCUCCCCGUUUCUCUUUGCCGCUUAAAAAAUUGUAUUCAAUUUUUUCUCGGAAGAAAUUUGACACAAGUCUUGAUGAAACGAAUUAUUUAACACUCUUGCGGCAAACCAACUUCUGAAUGAUAAACGAGACAUUAUCUUAAAAUUUAUUCGCGAUACUACUUAUCGAUCAAAGUUUGCGAGAAAAAAGCGAUACAUCAAGCGGGUGGCUCGGAUUAAACUUUCACGGAAGAAAAAUCGAUUUCGAUUCGAUCAGAAGUACAAUUCCUUUACUCUCUUAGAUUUACAAUUCGUACUUUAAGCCGAAGUUACAAGAGGCAUGAGAAAGCUACAAAUAGAACGCGAGUUUUAUGGUUGCGUUAUUACUAAUGUAUUUGCAUGUGAAAGUUACAAAUUUCGCGUCGGAAAAAUUCACUCGGCUCCAUUUCCGUCGCCAGAAAAUCUCCUUAAACUCUCAUAAAAUCUCUGUGUCGAUGAUUCGCAUUGCAUCAGGCGACCCGCGUCCCGAUCUGGGACAUCGCUACGACAAACGUGCAACUUGUCUUAAAUUUCCGUUAUGUGCACUCGCCUCAUCGAAGUAAUUUGCGAGACGACUAUAGAUACAGCCGGUCGCGACUUCCGCGCGCCGUCCAAGUCUUUCUCAACAAACUUUCCGAACGAUAUUUCCGUGCACGCGCGGAAUGAAGUGCGCGAGCAUGAAAUAUUCCUCGCGCAACUGACGAUAUUCCUGGCACAAUACAAACACCGUUGCUCGUAAAGUGCGCGGCAUCUAUAGUCGUGCAGGAAACAUUUUGUUUAGAGACGGAAGAGAAUACAAGAGUUAUUCGAUACGCGCUCAUUGCUUGCUAGACGUAUCGCCCGUGGAACGGUAUCUUUAAGGGUCAUCCUGCCCCUUUCAUUUUCUUUCUAAUCGUCGACCCUUCUACUUUUACGAGGCGGGGGAGUCGGCGCGGCGCGGUGAAUUAGAUGGUGCGAAGCGCCGACGCAACUGGGUCACUUAGAUCCGAUUAAGCUCCUUCGCGUGUCAUAAUGCCAGGCCAUUACUGCGGCUUGAAGUCUACGAUUGCGACGACUAACUGGCCCAUUACGCUUUCGCGGACUGGAGACUCAUCAAAUCCUCAAAUCCACGACGUAGUACAGUUUCUCCCGAGAAAGAUUUGCUCGUAAAAGAGUCCCUGCGAAAAUCAUUAAUUUCUAUUUGAAUCGGAAAAGUACGGUCAACGUACCGCGACUCUCUUCAUCUUUUUUAUGAUUCUAUAACUCACGAGAAGCGCGACACGUGCUGCCGACUCUUUAGACAUUACGGGAGUACGACGGGCUCUGACAAAGCAAGAAGAUCGUAAAUUUAACAGGCUUGUCGUAACAAGGCGACUGACGAGAAAAGAAGUAUGGCCAGUUGAUACUCCUUCUUCGAGAGGAGGACGAUAAGCGGAGCGGGAGGUCUUAAGCGCAAAGUCUUAAAACCGAUGAACAAGCAUAAUGAGAGGCGGUAUAAAAGAUCACACGGACUACGUAUCGCUCGUAUAACUCGCUCCCUUCUACUUUUUCCACAUUACCGUUAUUGCAUCGCUCGUGUAUCUUCAUUUCGUUCAGCAUCGCGCGAUGUAAUACGGAUAUGUAACUAACGUAGCGCGUAGCAGGUGCUGUGCAAUUACGCGCUAGGCGCUCCCGGGUGAAAAUUCCGCUAAUUUGAUAACCGCGGGGUCAAGCCGAAUACCAAAUCCCCCCUCUCCCUCCCUUUCGCCCCGCGCGAACAAAAAUUGCGUACAGGUGCAUUUGUGAAUACUCGAUGGCGGCUUCAUCAAGCUCUAAUUUCGCGAGCGCGGCCUUGCGAUGCUGUCGAGAAAUAUCGGUGAGAGUACACGGGGUAAUGGCACUUACAUUAACUCGGUCGUUCCACGUGGUCGCGUUCGCGCCGGUAUGGCACGUCCGUUUCUCGCGCUCGACGUAGCCAGUUUCCCGCUGGCGAUUCUCAACUUUCUAAUCGGCAAUUGGCGGGACACGCAAAUCCCAAUCGUCGCUGGUCCUCCUCCCCGUGGUUUUUUUUUUUUUUUGCAAAUGGCGAUUUCAGUAAUGCACGCGCAAUCGCUCGAGAAAUCGCACGAGCGAGAGCGGCAGAGAUGAACUUUCCACUUAAUUUGAAUAGCGGCCGGAUACGUAUCCGCGGCAAAAGGGUCUACGAAUAGAGGGCAGAGGGCAGUCAGUCGCAGUGAACCCCGGCCGGGAGAAGUGAAGUUAGUCGAUAAUUUCCACGGAUGUUCAAAAUUAAAAAAGUUUUCUUCGGCGAGAGUGAGUAAAUGAGUGAGAGAGAGAGAGAGAGAGAGAGAGAGAGAGAGAGAGAGAGAGAGAGAGAGAGAGAGAAGGGAGGGGGGAUAGAGGAUCUCGAUUGCUUCUUGCAGUCGGCGUUAAUUGCGUCGGCACAAGAGUGCGAUUGGUCCUUUAUCUCCCGUCCUCCUUCCGUCAAUUUUAUCUCUUCCUCCUCUUUCUCUUUCUGGUAUAUCCAUCGAUGAAAAGCCGCAAAAGAAGGCCAACGGCGCGCGAGGGGUGAUCGCAAAGUCCGGCGUAAUAUCGCAUCAUUAUCCGGCUAGACAAGACGCGAUCGAGAUUUAAAUUUGAAUCACUCAUUAGCGGUUCUUCGCGGCCUUGCAGAAUUAUUCCAAUUAACGGGAUUCAAUGACGAUCGGAAUUAUCUUGCUAAGAUUACGCUGUCGUGACUUAAAAAAAAAAAAACGCACGCAGAAUCGUAUUUCUCGAGUCAUCUACGCUGAGUCUUCCGUAGAGAAUUUUUAAUCCAGGUCUCGUUAAUAGCCGGGUUGCUUAAAGUCUGAAAAUUACAGACCUCGCGCACGAAACGAGCGUGGGGCUUUGAAAGCGUUGAUGCAUAAAGGAGCAUUAUACCUCGACAUAGCGCAUUAAAUUUUUCUUUAGAAAAUAUCUCGCUCGCAGUUUAACGAUCCAGCUACUUCACGUCGAACGUGUAAAGGGAUUAUCGCAAAUGUAUAGAGCGCCGCGCGCAGACUAUCCACCCAUAACUACUAAACGCUAAUGCCCUCUCAUUAAAUCUCCGAUGACAAGAUAAACAUUAAUCUCUAAACUAGGUAGAUUAGAUGCGGAGCUUCAUCGCCAUGUCACGGCACUCUACGACGCGCGACGCACGGCGGGGUCGGCGUGGCGUUUCAUCUCGUACUAUUAAUUCAGCGCGAUCAAGCCGGGCGUACCGGAUCGUCGACACCGCCACGGUUCGUUCGUUAAAAUUAUCGAAUCACCCGUAUAUCGUAUCUCAUCGUGUCGAUGAAACGACGAGAUGUCUUUCGCACGAUGUCACAAUUGCGAUUAAUCCGGCGUGGCGCGUGCGCGCGCGUGUGCCGUUCCCAUUCGCUUUUGAUCGAAUUUAACCCAAGUACUGUCCGGCGAUACUGCCAAAUUGAGCCUGAAACGCCAAACGGAAACGUUAGCGCGAUGACGCCGUCAUCGAUCACCUGCUCCACCACGAUUCCGUUAUUAUCUAAUUACGGCACAAUCUGCGGAUACGUAAAUACAAUUUAAAUUACAAUUCCAUCGCGUAGUAUUGAGCGUUCAACUGCUUUGUUCGUACAAGCGUGCAACAUUCAACAUUUUCUACGAUUCCCUAUGUGGCCGCGUUAUUGCUGUGAGGAAAAUAUAUCAAUGUCGUGGAGAACACGUAUCGUGCUCUAAAUAGAAGUAAAAAGAUAAAGAAUAGAGAAAGGAUAGUUUCUCUCAUCUAAAAAGACGAAAUGACAUAUUGCGCGAAUGACAUAUUGCGAACAAGACGAAGAUAUUCCUCUCUUGCUAGUCAAGACCUCCGUUACAAAACGGAGAACGCGCGGCUAGUUGUAAAAUAGGUGACAAAGCGUGAAAAACCGGGUUUUGACCGAUAACAACAAGUGUUACAAGUUAAUUAAGCAGCUGGCAAAGGAACGGCUCGGUUAAUUCUGCAGGCUGAAGAGGAAAAACACGACAAAGAACAACGUAGAAAAAGUUCUUUCGACAGGAUAUACGCAAACAUAUUUUUCACUUAUUUUUCUGCUUCUCUUUUAUAAUAUUGUCUUUUAUUUUGUCAUAAAAUUAUGCCGGAAAUAAGUAUCGCCAGCCAAAGUGUGUAAUCAAUUUUCAAUAACUUCCCAAUGACUUUUUGACUUUUUCGUUUUUUUUUUUACUUUUAAAACUCUAAUAUUAGUUUCUUGGUUUUCUUUUUUUCUUUAUUUUAUUUUUGUUUAAAAAAAAUAAAAAGUGCAAUUUAUGUUAUAUUAAAGUAUCUUAUUGCCAAUAACUUUUUGGUUUUUUGGACUUUUUGUAUUUUUAAAAUAAAAUAGAAAAUGCAGUUUAUCUUGAAUUAAAUAAAAUAUCCUAAAUAAAACUUAUGCAACUAAUUAUACUAGUAGACACCUUUUAUUUGAUACUAUUUUUGAAGCAAAAACUCCAAUUAGCUUUUAUAGAAACUCAAAUAGUUAUGUAAAUUACAUUACGCAUAGUGUCCUCUAAAGGCGCCAUUCAAGCGAAAUAUUGCACACAUAAAUUCUACUUGACAAGACCUUUCGAACGAUAUAUAACACAUAUCCAUUUGCGAUUAACACUUUGCGCACUUCCCUUGUUAGACACACACACAAAUAGACACAUUUUUAACAUAACAUUGUACCAUAUACAUAUAAUCUUUUAUCGAGUGCUCAACAUAGGAUGUUGCGGCAUUCUUGCGCAUAGUUCUCGAAACAUCCAGAUCAGUUCAUAAUAAUAAUCAAUGAGUUAUAUUCUUGGAAACUACAACACACACUUCGUGUAUAAAUUCCGUCAUAAAUUGCUUCCUUCAUAAAUUAUAUAAAUUGACUGUUAUCAAAUAAUUUUGCAUCGCGAUAAGUUAAAAUCUCCAUCAUUAUAUUUCAGAAUAAGCAGGACUUAACUGGCUUCGUAUAAAUCGUUGAUUAUCUAUUUCGCCACUAGAGACAAGUCGGAGCAAAUCGCAGUUCGAGAAGCUCGGAAAAAAAAAACAGAAUAAAUUGUGCUUACUUUCUUAACAAAACUUCGUUUUAACUUGGGAUUGCUGUUACGUUCGCUCGGAGACGAUGUCGGUGGACGAUGAAGAAGAAGCUUCUGUCGGGGUUGGAGUAUCGAACGAAACCGCGAUGGAAAGAAAAAAACCAAUGAGAUUAACAACUUUCCAGAGUUUAAGGUAUUCUGCUGUCGACACUUUUCGCUCGUCUCCUCAUCUCGACACCAGACAAGAGGGAGGGAGAGAGAAAGAGAGAGCUUGUUUUUCUUCUACUCUUGAGGGAAAAUGAAAUUGAUCCGCUUCAUAGCAGACUUGAAGAAAAUAGAAAUCCUCGUCCUACGUUUACCCGACAAUUUUCUUUCAUUCUGCUUACUUCCCUGGUUCACUUCCUAUGCUAACGCUUCAAUUUAACUUUUUUUUAUGCUAUUUAAUCGAGAGGUCUCUCUCUCUCUCUCUCUCUCUAUAUAUAUAUAUAUAUAUAUAUAUACAUAUAUAAAUGUCGCGACCAAUAAUUCUAUAACUGGACGUUAUUAAAAAUUCUACACGCGUUUUAGUUUACAUUUUAUUACAAGUUUUAAAUUUAGAUUUCAGGCGAGAGGUAAUACAUAUAUCCAUCACGCGAUUUAUGUAUUGCGUUUAAAAAAAUUCCAUUUUAAUUCUACAUUUAACGUCUCUGACUUAUUAUGACUGAUGUCAAGGCGUUAACGAACAAUAUCGGGGCAGGCACCCGUCUACUCUCGCAACACUCUCAUCGUCAUCGUCGCGUUACCAUUGUUCCGUCAUUUUAAUUAUUUAUCGAUCUCAAUUCUCAAAGCAGCAUUCAUAUUUACGAAAAGCAAGAGUCCAAAAAGGAUGUGCUCCGCCGAUGUCCAAGGUGCGGACUUGCAAAUAUUUGCGCGGGCACGUGCACGCGUUUCCAACCCUUUAUCGACCUGUUGACACGCCGGCAUCCGGCCGUUCUUUUUCUCCACUCUCUUUCCCUCUGUGUCUUCUAUUUUUUUUAUCGGCUAUAUUGUGUCGAUAUCAAAAGAGUCAGCCGCGUUUUUGCAUAAUCGAUCGGGGGGAGCGGCCUCGAAAAGCCUCGACGGACCGCACGAAUUUCGUAAUAACGCAGGACAAAGGCAAGCCUGACUAAUAAAUUCGCAUCGAUUCGCGUCGUCGCGUCAGCAUGAGACAUUUAUUAGUCCCGGGGAUCGCUCUCUGCGAGCUUUCUGGACUAAUAUUCUUCUAAAAAAAAUUUUUGUGCAUCAACGGGGAAAAAAAAAAUAUAUAUAUUCGAAAAAGAUGUAAAAUACCUUUCACUUAUAAAUUAUUAAUCAUUUGUUUCCUGAUCGGUUCUAAUUCGGCAAUAUCAAAGCAUAAAUGUAAUAAAAUAUGUAAAUACAAUAAUUAGAAAAAUAGAUCCACACGCUUAUUAUUGCGCGACGCGAUUACUUAGUGAGACAUUCAAUCGCACGUCUUCUGAGGACGUUCCUCCCGAUAAUCCGUCGUAAAAAGGAGCGAUCGGUCGCCGGAAGGAACGAGUACCUUCGCUCGAACUCUUAAGUUCCGAGCUUCCGCUGAUCGCUUCCGAUUUCGUCAUUCACGAGACGACCGCGCGGGGAUCAGACUCGCUUUAAAGCGUUCUUUGACCGAGCCACGGCGCGGCGUCAGAGACACGUUGCCCCCCGUCGCUCCUUUUUUUUUUUCUUUUUUCCCACCAUCCCGCGCGCCCUUUCCUUUCAUUUCGGUCACGUUCGACGUUUCUCGCGCGACGACGUCCUGCAUUAUUCAAGAGGCGGACCUUCGGGAAGCGCCCGGGCUUACGCGACUCCGUCGGGACGGGCGUUUCGAUUUCGAUCGGAACGAUUUUUUCGGACUCUCGCUCAUAAAACUGGAUGAGUCACGACGGAGAUCGGACGCUGUCAUUUGUCAUCUCUCACGCGCUCGAGCAUGAAACGAACGCAAAUGCAAAGAAGGACGGCGUCUUCGGCUUUUCCUCGGGGAAUCUAUCCGUUUAACGCUAUCACGAUAAAGUUUAAUUGCAAACGUGAGAAUUUUCGAUCUAUCUAGUACUUAUCACUCGUCUCCCUCCUCGCCUGCGAACCAUCACGGUUACACUGCAAAUUUUAACCCUGGAUUUUCCGAUUCGACAGAUCGUUAGAUUAACAGCAAAUAUUUGACGUCGUUUCGUGGAAAAUAUUCCGUGACGUUGCUACCUUUUGCAUUUCUCUCGCUCGCGCGAUAGAGGCAGUCCGUCGCUUGGCCACAUAACUUCAUCGGGAUGAUAAAUGUCACCGGCUUAAUGUAUACUUUGCAAAGGUGUGCAACGUAGGCGCGUUUGACCGUGUAAUCUAUCAUGCACGCGCGGUUUGUAUAACGCGAUAUAUCUGUAAGGAAAAAUUUUAUGACCACUGCGAUACCAACUAUAUUCAAACAGAAUCGUUUCGCAUGUUUCAUUCACACUUGAUGUUUGAACGCAUAUACAUUUAUGUCGCACCACCACCACCACCGGCGGUGCGGUGUAUUCCAAAUCAACGCCAACUUCCGAAUUGGCUGGGUGUAUUGGUCUGUUUGCGCGAUAAAUGUUACAAAGUUAACGUAUCGGUUUAUCAGCCAUCGCUAGCUAACAAAGUACAAUCAAGUACUCUCAAUUCGCUAAUAAAAUAGUUACAUAUUUCUCCCCGUUGAAUUUAACCGCUCCCAUGUCCGUUACAUUAAUGGCUUUAAUAACAUAAUGGAAAACGUUAUUAAAUACGGUCGGCCGCGAAUGAUGCAAAAUUAAUUAUCCGUUUGAAAAACUGAAUUACAUUCCGAAUUGCCAUUUAACAUCGGAAUUACUCGGUGCUCGCUUCGCGAUGUUAAGGUAUACUAAAGUAAAUGUCCCAGGAAUCGGGCGAUAUGAAACCAAAAAUGUUGAAUUUUUAUAAGAAAUCACGAUAUAAAAUAAUUUAAUUUUAUAAUUAACUUAAAUGUAACAUUUUAUUAUUAACGUAUAAAAAAUAUUAUCUUGGUAAAUAUAUGCUUUUUAAAAAAUGUUAAAAAAAUUAAAAUAUAAACUCUCACCUAGUUGCGCAACAAAUUAAUUCUUCGUGUGUGUAACGUUAAUUUUCUUAAUAUUCGAAAUAAUCUAUUUUAUAAAUGUCUUAAAGAAUUUAAAGGUUACAAUCAAUCUUUAAUAUGAUAAAGUUUAGUAUAAGUGUUUGAACAUGGAGACCGUAUCGAUUACUGAGACAUUUAUCUUACUUUUCGCACUCCCGACAGUAAAACAAAAAACAAAAAUGAGACAAAAUUGGCACCGCCGAGUACUUCCUUUUCCUAGCGGUCAUCAAACACGGUAAUCAAUUAAUUUCAGCAGUAUUACGAUUACUCUGAUUUAUUGUUCAUUCGUGGGGGGAAGGAAAGUUCCGGUUGUCAAGCGAACACCAUGCUGAUGUAACGUAUGUGUUCUUCGUCGCAUACAGUGACUGUGCACGGUAGUGGCACACGCGGACUGCUGUUUAAGGGCCAUUCAACUCGCCACGAUGAUCUUCAGGGCGAACAAUGGCCUCGAUGAUGAGAGGCAAACAAGUAAAAAGUACGAAGAGAAGGGAGUACAGCGAAAGACCCGCUGUGACGCUUUCUCCCUCAUCGCCCUUACAUCCCUUAUUUUUCCCCGUCUCUCUCUCUCUCUCUCUCUCUCUCUCUCUCUCUCUCUCUCUCUCGUUUUCACGCUCUUCGUUUUGCACUACGUUCGUCGUCGUCUCUGCAGAUUGCCGCACGCGAUGGUGGCCACUUUAUUGCCACAGCAAUUACUUUCUUCCGUAGGUUUUAUCGAUAAUUCCCGGGCGAAGUAACGAUUUCGCGGAUGGCGAGACGAUCACGACCGAAUUACUGACACGAGGAAAGAAGAAGGACUUUUUUUUAUCUUUCGCGUUUGCGUGUGGUGCAACGAUAUAGCGUGAGAUUAUACAGUUCCGCUUGAAGUCGUUAUGAUUAUUCUCAAUACAAUCUCCAAAUGUGGAGUAUAAUUCUAACGUUCGUAUAUACGUACGCGUCGGUAUCCACAUUAAUACAUAUAAAGACGCGCAUACGUACACGCAAACAUUGUUAUUUAUAAAAUUGAAUUUUAUAAAUAUCAAAAAACUGAUGCAGACAUAUGGAGCUCGCGAAUUGAACUUGCACAAGUUCUGCGCAAUGCAACAAUACAUUUCAAGCACAUUGUUCGGUUCGUUUUUUGCCGUGGCAAUUUGUCGCGUGCAAUGAAUUUCGCGUGCAAGUUACACAUACAUACGUUAUUGUCGGAUUAAUUAUUUGCUACUGCGAUUCGUUUUCCGAUUGCAAUUUUGCUUUCUAUAAAUGUGCAUUAAAGUUUUCAUCGUCGCUCAAUCACAACAAGAUCUUUUCGUGCAUUUUCAAUAAUUGAUGCCGCUACAACGUACCUAUACGCUCAUCGAAACGUACGUGUCGCGCGAGUCGUUUCCAUCGCUACCAUUUCGACAAAGUACAAUUUUAAUUACAACGUUGUAUCUCCGUGACCGUGAAAUUUCAAUUAGCGCAGUUUGUAAUUUGACUUUCAGAAAAAAAAAAAA